GGCUUUGAGGCUAAUCUAAUGCUUUUUUCUUUUGGUUGGGUACCUUUUGCAUCAUGAUUUAUUGAUGGUUGUUAUUUAUAUAGCUUCCCGAAAGACGGUGAUCUAGCAUUAAUUUGUUUAGCACGUUAUAAGAAUUGUGCGGGUAGCAUUUUUUAAAAUUUGUGCUAGGUGUGAUAAAUAAUACGUACUGUUUUAUAUCUGGUUUCUGAAGAUAUUUUCUUGUUAGCUUCGCUGCUAGGAUGUGGUGGGGUUUUUAAGAGAUCUUAUAGCUUUAUUUUGGUUUUGGGUUAAAAGUACCCCUUACUAUUGUUUGUGUUACAACAUACUAUUUGGCUUUUUGUUUCUUUAUUUUAAUUUUCGGCUUGUUAACUUUUUAAUAUAGUAUGAUAUAAUUAGUAGUUUUAAUAUUUCAUGUUUUUCUCGUAGCUCGCCGGACUGUUUAUUAAAAACAUUUUUAUUAUUUAAUUCUUAAUAAUCAAGCCUGCCCUAUGUUAUUUUAUAAAUGGCCGCAGUAUAUUGACUGUGCUAAGGUAGCAUAAUUAAUUGCCUUAUAAUUGAAGGAUUGUUUGAAUGGUAUUACCAGGUGAGUUUUAAAGUGUGAAUUAUUAUUAGAAAUUGGUUUAUCGGUGCAGAACCUGAUAAGUUAUAAUAAGACGGAAAGACCCCAAGAGCUUUAUAAAUUAUUUUUUAUUUACUUGGGGCAAGGGCAUAUUUUUUAUAUGCUUUUUGAUCCUUUAGGAUUAUAGGUAUAAGUUACCUUGGGGAUAACUAGGUAAGAGAUGAGGAGAGUUCAUAUCGAUUUAUCUAUUUGCCAUCUCGAUGUUGACUUAGGGUAAAUAUGUUGGCGCAGAAGUUUUCAUAUUAGGUCUGUUCGACCUUUGUUCCCUUCAUGAGUUGAGUUAAGACCGGCGUGAGCCAGGUCGGUUCUUAUCUAUUGGUCUCUUGGCUUAGUACGAAAGGAUUGGUCGGGGUUUAGUUU
Molecule: ribosomal RNA, 979 nt
Filed under: Plagiorchis maculosus
Lineage: Eukaryota; Metazoa; Platyhelminthes; Trematoda; Plagiorchiida; Plagiorchiidae
Description: 16S ribosomal RNA
Rfam family: Bacterial large subunit ribosomal RNA (bases 622-979)
Source: RNAcentral